UAGCACCACAGGAUUCAGCUU
This 21-nucleotide microRNA is filed under the name Triops cancriformis. RNAcentral describes it as "tcf-miR-995". Its record names the gene tcf-miR-995. Lineage: Eukaryota; Metazoa; Arthropoda; Branchiopoda; Notostraca; Triopsidae. The record is from miRBase by way of RNAcentral.